This 1063-nucleotide long non-coding RNA is filed under the name Canis lupus dingo (dingo). RNAcentral describes it as "lncRNA (ENSCAFG00020005640.1)". The record is from RNAcentral. Lineage: Eukaryota; Metazoa; Chordata; Mammalia; Carnivora; Canidae.
CUCUGUAGCCUGUGGACAGAAUGGCAGCUGGCUCCUGAUUGUCAGAACCACCUAAAUGCAGUGGUGAGGCCGGAGCUUCAGGGUGACGUGCUGAGAAGGGGCUAAAAGCUUGGUGAUAAACCCCCCAGAGCUUACCAUUACCUCACACCCUGGACAGCAUCUGGCCAUUGCCCGCCCUGAGAAGCUGCACCACCUGCCCCUCCCAGCUGUGAAAUCUCCAGCCUCGGCCUCUGUGUCUGUCAGCUGGAUUUCCUCGAGCCUCUCAUGGGGACUGGGGGUCUCCACCCGCCCCUACCAUCCAGGCUGUGUGCCCUUGGACAAGGGGCUCCCUCUCCAAGCCUCUUGUUUCUCCUCCUUGAAAUAAGAAUACUAACUAGGAAAACUAACAGAAUGUCCGGGGUUUUGUCAGGAUGACUUGAGUCACCGAGCUCCGUCUUACAGCAGCUGAUACUGUCAUUGCUACUCCGUAUUCAUGAAAGUCCGUUUAAUGUCGUUUCCAGCAGAACUAGAAUGCGAGCCACGUAGGUCACUUAGAUCUUUCUUAAAAAGUGAAAAUAAACUAGUGCAAGUGAUUUUAAUGUCACUUAACCUGAUACAUCUCAAAUGUUUCAACGUGUGGCACUGGCCACAUUUCAAGGGCUCAGUGGUCACUUGUGGCCCGUGGCGACUGUAUUGGACCGUGCAGGCAGAGGAAUACAUGCAAACAUGCUUCAGGCUGGAGAAAUCAAGAGACUUCCCACCGGAGGGAGUAUCAGCACUGGACACCGAAAGAUGAGCCAAGGCCCAGAGAAGUUGCGAGCAAGCAGCCUGCACACGAGCUAUAAAAAGAAGUACUUAGAAGGUGAGUAGGGAACAGGAAUGAUCCCCAAUGCCAAGUACAGGGUGAGUGAGAGGGAGGGAGGGAACAGGGUGAAGAAGACGGGAAGGCAAGGGCAAGGGGAGGAUGAGGAGGUGGAGGAGGUGAAUCCUAUAUGGAGAUCAUCUGCAGCUUUAAAAGAGCUGCAUCCUGCUGCUGCUUAAGAUGCUCAGCCUGCUGUCGCCCUGGUAACGAGAGAAAAAUCAC